Molecule: long non-coding RNA, 161 nt
Organism: Pseudophryne corroboree (corroboree frog)
Lineage: Eukaryota; Metazoa; Chordata; Amphibia; Anura; Myobatrachidae
Exons: 3
Source: RefSeq, a predicted model, not a curated record
CAGUAUUUUGCUCGAGUGAGGCACCAAUUGUUUUUUAAAUCUUCUUUGUGCCCGUCGUCAUACUCAGUGGCGCCAUCGUCAGUACAAAUCCGACCUAUUUGGAUUCUGCUCGGAUGAGGUUUCUGGAGACGAGGAACCAUCACAGCCCAAAAAGAAAAGUC